UAAGUUUACAAUAAUUUAUAUAAUAUCGUUUUUAUUCAUUUGUAGAAGAGUUUUUUCUUUAAUAUGGUAAUUUUACCUUUUGCAUAAUGGGUGAACUAUAAUAUUAAAAAUUAUUUUUUAAUCACGAUGGGAGAAGAUCUAACAAAAGUUUUUUUUUAGUUUAUUAUAAUCUUCUAUAUAAACAGGGGACUAAAAACUAUUGUUAGGGGUGAAAGGCUUAUCAAUUCUCCCGAUAUCUUGAUAUAAUUUAAAUGUAUUUAGUACAUAAGACAAUGAGGAAGUGGUGAGAUUUUCUCAGUAAACAACUUUUAUUUUUUAAAUUCUCUCUUAAGAUUUAACAAUUAAGGUUUAACUAUUAAAAAUAUUAAUUUUUUUAGUUUAGUGUUUUUUUUAUACUAUAACCUAUAUCUGAACUUUAACGAGGGGUAUAUAAUGUUUAUAUGAGUAUUUUAAUAUAUAUAUAUAUAAAACUGUAAAAGGAACUCGGCAAAAAGACUGCUCAACUGUUUAUCAAAAACAUAGCUUAAUGUUUUUUGUAUUAAGUUAAUUCUGCUCAGUGAUAUUUUAAACAGCCGCAGUACACUGACUGUGCUAAGGUAGCAUAAUAAGUUGGCUUAUAAUUGAAGUCUUGUAUGAAAGGAACUUGAUGGGUAGUAACUGUCUCUUUAAGUUUAAAUAAAAAUUAUUUAGGGGGUGAAAAUACCCCCUCUUAAAAGAAAGACGAGAAGACCCUUAGAAUUUUUUAUUACAGUUAAUUUUUUAAUACGUAUUUGUUGGGGCGACAAAUUAGCAAUUUUAACCUAAUUAUUAUAGUAAGUUUUACACGUAAUUUAUAAUUAGAUUGAUUAAUUACCUAAGGGAUAACAGCAUAAUCUUAUAUGGUUUGUGACCUCGAUGUUGGACUAGGGAUUAUUAAGGCUAGCAGCUUUAAUAGAUAGUUCUGUUCGAACUCUGCCCCCUACAUGAUCUGAGUUCAGACCGGCGUAAGCCAGGUCAGUUUCUAUCUUCUUUUUUUUUUAUUCCAGUACGAAAGGACCUUUUAAAAUUUUU
This 1050-nucleotide ribosomal RNA is filed under the name Euglandina singleyana. RNAcentral describes it as "16S ribosomal RNA". Lineage: Eukaryota; Metazoa; Mollusca; Gastropoda; Stylommatophora; Spiraxidae. The record is from RNAcentral.